This is a ribosomal RNA of Ictalurus punctatus (channel catfish), 119 nucleotides long. Lineage: Eukaryota; Metazoa; Chordata; Actinopteri; Siluriformes; Ictaluridae. The record is from Ensembl.
ACUUGCGACCAUACCACUCUUACAAAGCUUGAUCUCGUCUGAUCAUGGAAGCAAAGCAGAGUUGGGCCUGGUUAGUACUUGGAUGGGAGCCUGCCUGGGAAUAACAGGUGCUGUAAGCU